UACGUAGGGGGCAAGCGUUGUCCGGAUUUAUUGGGCGUAAAGAGCGUGUAGGCGGUUUGGUAGGUCCGUUGUGAAAACUCGAGGCUCAACCUCGAGACGCCGAUGGAAACCCUCGAACUAGAGUCCGGAAGAGGAGAGUGGAAUUCCUGGUGUAGCGGUGAAAUGCGCAGAUAUCAGGAAGAACACCAAUGGCGAAGGCAGCACUCUGGGACGGUACUGACGCUGAGACGCGAAAGCGUGGGGAGCAAACAGG
Molecule: ribosomal RNA, 253 nt
Filed under: uncultured bacterium
Lineage: Bacteria
Description: partial 16S ribosomal RNA
Rfam family: Bacterial small subunit ribosomal RNA
Source: RNAcentral